AUUGAACGCUGGCGGCAUGCUUUACACAUGCAAGUCGAACGGCAGCGCGGGCUUCGGCCUGGCUGCGAGUGGCGAACGGGUGAGUAAUGCAUCGGAACGUGCCCAGUAGUGGGGGAUAGCCCGGCGAAAGCCGGAUUAAUACCGCAUACGACCUGAUGGUGAAAGCGGGGGACCGAAAGGCCUCGCGCUAUUGGAGCGGCCGAUGUCGGAUUAGCUAGUUGGUGGGUUAAAGGCUUACCAAGGCGACGAUCCGUAGCUGGUCUGAGAGGACGACCAGCCACACUGGGACUGAGACACGGCCCAGACUCCUACGGGAGGCAGCAGUGGGGAAUUUUGGACAAUGGGGGGAACCCUGAUCCAGCCAUGCCGCGUGCGGGAAGAAGGCCUUCGGGUUGUAAACCGCUUUUGUUCGGGAAGAAAUCCUCUGGGCUAAUACCCCGGGGGGAUGACGGUACCGGAAGAAUAAGCACCGGCUAACUACGUG
Molecule: ribosomal RNA, 484 nt
Filed under: uncultured bacterium
Lineage: Bacteria
Description: partial 16S ribosomal RNA
Rfam family: Bacterial small subunit ribosomal RNA
Source: RNAcentral